AUCACGUGAGCAUGAUGUUUGAACAUAAUUCACAACUGAAUUCACAAAGCAGUAACAGGUAACUGCGCAGCAGACUUUCAGAUCAGUUCAUUACAUUUUUCAGUCGAAAGUGCAUUACAGGAGCCCAGAGAUGAUCAAAAAUUGAGAGCAGAAGAAAUUUGAGGCUGACCAGGAUCCUGAAGUGAGGAGCAGUCCCUUUCCCAUUUAACAGCAUUCAUGAGCAGAAAAUGGGGAAGCAGAAAUGCUGAGACAGUUCAGAAGAAACAUCACCAGAAGCCACAGCAACAGCAAAGGAAGCUUAUAUGGAAGUAUUUUUGAUUUUCUCCCUUCUUUCCCCUACCCCCUGGCCCCUGCUGACUCUAACAUAACUAACCAUCCCCUUCCCUUUCCCCCUCAUUCGUCUUCCUGAAUUCACUGUCAUUGUUUUCUGAUUUUUCAAUGAAUUGUGUUGUACUGAUUUUAUUCACUUGAAUUUUUGUGAUUUGUUGCAUUCUUUUGAAGUUUUACUAACAUUGUGCCAGUUUUAUACUUUCAGGGACUCGGUAGAGGAACAACGAUGGAGGAGCAAGGCCAACCAACAGAGGAAGACGAGAUGACGAGUCCAUUUCCCAUCUCUAUACAGCAGCCAACAUGGCCCAAAGUGGUAAGUAACUUUUCGUGAUUUGUUGCAUUCUUUUGAAGUUUUACUAACAUUGUGCCAGUUUUAUACUUUCAGGGACUCGGAAGAGGAACAACGAUGGAGGAGCAAGGUCGACCAACAGAGGAAGACGAGAUGACGAGUCCAUUUCCCAUCUCUAUACAGCAGCCAACAUGGCCCAAAGUGGUAAGUAACUUUUCGUGAUUUGUUGCAUUCUUUUGAAGUUUUACUAACAUUGUGCCAGUUUUAUACUUUCAGGGACUCGGAAGAGGAACAACGAUGGAGGAGCAGGGUCGACCAACAGAGGAAGACGAGAUGACGAGUCCAUUUCCCAUCUCUAUACAGCAGCCAACAUGGCCCAAAGUGGUAAGUAACUUUUUGUGAUUUGUUGCAUUCUUUUGAAGUUUUACUAACAUUGUGCCAGUUUUAUACUUUCAGGGACUCGGAAGAGGAAC
Saccostrea cuccullata (small rock oyster) is the source of this 1092-nucleotide long non-coding RNA. RefSeq lists it as uncharacterized. The transcript is spliced from 3 exons. The record is from RefSeq and is a predicted model, not a curated record. NCBI's taxonomy places the organism in Eukaryota, Metazoa, Mollusca, Bivalvia, Ostreida, Ostreidae.